RNAcentral lists this ribosomal RNA (254 nucleotides) under uncultured bacterium. RNAcentral describes it as "partial 16S ribosomal RNA". It matches the Rfam family "Bacterial small subunit ribosomal RNA", at positions 524 to 776 of the family's 1533-position model. The record is from RNAcentral.
UACAGAGGGUGCGAGCGUUAUCCGGAAUCACUGGGUUUAAAGGGUGCGUAGGCGGUGUGAUAAGUCUGUCGUGAAAUGCUCCGGCUCAACCGGUAGAACUGCGAUGGAUACUGUUUCACUUGAAUUGGGUUGAGGCAGGCGGAAUGUGACAUGUAGCGGUGAAAUGCAUAGAUAUGUCAUAGAACACCGAUUGCGAAGGCAGCUUGCCAAGCCUUGAUUGACGCUGAGGCACGAAAGCGUGGGGAGCAAACAGG